This is a long non-coding RNA of Arachis ipaensis, 1850 nucleotides long. RefSeq lists it as uncharacterized. The record is from RefSeq and is a predicted model, not a curated record. NCBI's taxonomy places the organism in Eukaryota, Viridiplantae, Streptophyta, Magnoliopsida, Fabales, Fabaceae.
UAAAAUUUGAAAGAUAGGAAAGGAGAUAAUCUAGAUAUAUUUCAUUCUUCUUCUUGGAAGCUUCAUCCUUUCUCACCUCAUGCUCACUAUCACACAUCCAUCUAUAUGGCUUAAAAGUUAUUACCUAUUGUUUUGCUGCAUCUGUUGUUUCUACCUCUUCAAAUAAUAUUCUGAAGGUCUUAAAAUUUUUGGAGAUAAGUAAGAUAAGAAAGCCGACGUAUGUCUUGACGUGUGAUAGUAGUGUUGUUUCUAAUUCAUAUUUUCUUUGCUACUACUAUAUUUCUAUUUUUAUUGUCUCUAAUCUAUGUUUGCAGGUGCUUAACUUCCUCCUUUAAUCACAAAAGGAGAAAAAAUUGGUAUAAAGAGACUUAAUUAUUUUGUGGUAAUAUUUUAGAAGUACUGAAACUAUUUUGAGACUUCUUAUUACUGUUAAUGUUUAUUUGGGAUGAUUUGAUUUUAGUGUCAUUGGCUACACCUUCUUACUCUUGCUCAUAAUUGUUACUCUUGCUCAUAAUGCUAUAUAGUUAUUAUUGUUUGUUGUUUGUUUGUAUUUCUACUACACUCUGAUUUUCAGCUGAAAAGCAUUAUAGCACAUAUUUAGGAGGAGCUUUAAUCUCUGGAUUCAGGGUGAGAACUUUCUGCGAGUGAAAGGGAAGUUAUCCCAUUCUUAUUACUUUUUCUUAAAUGUUUUUAUUUUAAAAUGUUUGUCAUUAAGAAAAAGAUUGUUUGAGUUAAAAAAAAAAAAAUUAUACAAACAUUUGGUUGAUUGAUUAAGAAUUGAUUCUAAUUUAUGGUGUAAUUAUGUGUUAUAAAAUUUUAGGAUUGACAUUAAUAUGUAUGAUUAUUUCAUUUGAUUUAGAAAGAAUCAAUCAUUUAGACCAAGAUAUGAAAGAGAUUGUUGCUACUCAUGCAAAUAGAAAAGGAAAGAAGCAUGACAAUUAUUAUGAGAGUUAAUAGAUAGCAACAACUAAUAUGAAUAAUAUAACACUACUUGAAUUAUGUUUGAAAAUAAUCAUUAUUAAGAGCAAGAUUUGAAAAAAAUAUAGAAAGAUGUGCUCCUACUUAAAGGAAGAAAAGUAUCAUGUCUUUAAUGGAAAAUGAUUUGUUACAAGUGAAAAAAAAAAGUAUUAUUGACUUUGUUUUUUAUAGAAAUAAAUUUUUUAAUAUUUUUUAUUUUACAGAAAUAUCUGAUAUCCGAUUUGAUUCAAUUCGAUCUGCAAAUACAGGUCGAAUUCAAGAAUAAAAAUGCCGAUAUUGAAUUUGAUCUAAUCCGAUGAGUUUAGUGCAAAUCGAAUUAAGAUUUCGAUCAUAUUCAAUCUGAUCCAAUCCAUAAAUAUUCAUACCUCUCACCUUUCUAAUGGAGAGAUCUUGCUACUUGUGGACAUGGCCAAGGCCCAAAAGUACUUGAAAAACCCCUUGACUUUACUCAAACUUUCUUAGAGAAUGGGCGAGACAUGGAAAGCAAAGCAUGCCUGAUCACUCAGGCUGUCAUUUUGCGUGACAAAUGCCAAGGCGGCCCUCAAAAAGCAGGUCAAGCUAUUGGCACCUAACCUUGACCUUUCCAAGGUAGGUGCUUCCGAUCAAGCUGCGGAUGGAAGGAUUAUUAACAUCAUUGACAAGUUUUGCAGGAACAGACUUUGACGGAUGAUAUCCUUAGCUACAAGUUCACAAAUAGAAUCUAGAAAGGAUUAAUGCCCUCUCGAGUUGAGCUGUUUACUUGGUUUGUGCUAGUAGGCCGAGUUAAUACAAAGAAUCGUUUGAGUAGAUUGGAUAUCAUUGAUCAAAAUGAUAAUAUUUGUGUCAUGUAUAACAAGGAAGUUGAAUCUGUACAACAUCUGAUCUAUUUGUUA